CCCUACGGGAGGCAGCAGUGAGGGAUAUUGGGCAAUGGGGGAAACCCUGACCCAGCGACGCCGCGUGAGGGAAGACGGUCUUCGGAUUGUAAACCUCUGUCUUUGGGGACGAAAAAGGACGGUACCCAAGGAGGAAGCUCCGGCUAAAUACGUGCCAGCAGCCGCGGUAAUACGUAUGGUGCAAGCGUUAUCCGGAUUUACUGGGUGUAAAGGGAGCGCAGGCGGCGCGUUAAGCCUGGUGUGAAAGCCCGCGGCCCAACCGCGGGACUGCAUUGGGAACUGGCGCGCUGGAGUGCCGGAGGGGG
This 305-nucleotide ribosomal RNA is filed under the name uncultured bacterium. RNAcentral describes it as "bacterial SSU rRNA". It matches the Rfam family "Bacterial small subunit ribosomal RNA", at positions 337 to 658 of the family's 1533-position model. The record is from RNAcentral.